AUUCAGCUGACAAGUUCCAAGUAGGACGAAACAUGGGUCCUGGAU
Molecule: non-coding RNA, 45 nt
Organism: Schistosoma mansoni
Lineage: Eukaryota; Metazoa; Platyhelminthes; Trematoda; Strigeidida; Schistosomatidae
Source: Rfam